AGUCGAACGGGACUCUUCGGAGUUCAGUGGCGGACGGGUGAGUAACGCGUGAGAAUCUGCCUAGAGGAUGGGGACAACCACGGGAAACUGUGGCUAAUACCCAAUGAGCGGAGACGUUAAAGAUUUAUCGCCUCUAGAGGAGCUCGCGUCUGAUUAGCUAGUUGGUGGGGUAAAAGCCUACCAAGGCGACGAUCAGUAGCUGGUCUGAGAGGACAACCAGCCACACUGGGACUGAGACACGGCCCAGACUCCUACGGGAGGCAGCAGUGGGGAAUUUUCCGCAAUGGGCGAAAGCCUGACGGAGCAAUACCGCGUGAGGGAGGAAGGCUCUUGGGUCGUAAACCUCUUUUCUCAGGGAAGAAGAAAGUGACGGUACCUGAGGAAUCAGCCUCGGCUAACUCCGUGCCAGCAGCCGCGGUAAUACGGAGGAGGCAAGCGUUAUCCGGAAUUAUUGGGCGUAAAGCGUCCGUAGGUGGCUCUUCAAGUCUGCUGUCAAAGAGUGGGGCUUAACUCCAGAAAGGCAGUGGAAACUGAAAGGCUAGAGAGCCGUAGGGGUAGAGGGAAUUCCCGGUGUAGCGGUGAAAUGCGUAGAGAUCGGGAAGAACAUCGGUGGCGAAAGCGCUCUACUGGACGGUAUCUGACACUGAGGGACGAAAGCUAGGGGAGCGAAUGGGAUUAGAUACCCCAGUAGUCCUAGCCGUA
This 702-nucleotide ribosomal RNA is filed under the name uncultured cyanobacterium. RNAcentral describes it as "bacterial SSU rRNA". It matches the Rfam family "Bacterial small subunit ribosomal RNA", at positions 60 to 804 of the family's 1533-position model. The record is from RNAcentral. Lineage: Bacteria; Bacillati; Cyanobacteriota.